RNAcentral lists this ribosomal RNA (180 nucleotides) under Klebsiella pneumoniae. Its description in RNAcentral is "partial 16S ribosomal RNA". It matches the Rfam family "Bacterial small subunit ribosomal RNA", at positions 1 to 176 of the family's 1533-position model. Lineage: Bacteria; Pseudomonadati; Pseudomonadota; Gammaproteobacteria; Enterobacterales; Enterobacteriaceae. RNAcentral also lists the same sequence under 1 other name. The record is from RNAcentral.
AAAUUGAAGAGUUUGAUCAUGGCUCAGAUUGAACGCUGGCGGCAGGCCUAACACAUGCAAGUCGAGCGGUAGCACAGAGAGCUUGCUCUCGGGUGACGAGCGGCGGACGGGUGAGUAAUGUCUGGGAAAUUGCCUGAUGGAGGGGGAUAACUACUGGAAACGGUAGCUAAUACCGCAUAA